UACAGAGGGUGCAAGCGUUAAUCGGAAUUACUGGGCGUAAAGCGUGCGUAGUCGGUUAUUUAAGUCGGGUGUGAAAUCCCCGGGCUCAACCUGGGAAUUGCAUUCGAUACUGGAUAGCUAGAGUUCGGCAGAGGGAAGCGGAAUUUCGGGUGUAGCGGUGAAAUGCGUAGAUAUCCGAAGGAACAUCAGUGGCGAAAGCGGCUUCCUGGACCAGAACUGACGAUCAGGCACGAAAGCGUGGGGAGCAAACAGG
This 253-nucleotide ribosomal RNA is filed under the name uncultured bacterium. RNAcentral's name for it is "partial 16S ribosomal RNA". It matches the Rfam family "Bacterial small subunit ribosomal RNA", at positions 524 to 776 of the family's 1533-position model. The record is from RNAcentral.